CCUACGGGGUGCAGCAGUGGGGAAUAUUGCACAAUGGGGGAAACCCUGAUGCAACGACGCCGCGUGAGUGAAGAAGUAUUUCGGUACGUAAAGCUCUAUCAGCAGGGAAGAAAGAAAUGACGGUACCUGACCAAGAAGCCCCGGCUAACUACGUGCCAGCAGCCGCGGUAAUACGUAGGGGGCAAGCGUUAUCCGGAAUUACUGGGUGUAAAGGGAGCGUAGACGGUUAAGUAAGUCUGGAGUGAAAGGCCGGGGCCCAACCCCGGGACUGCUCUGGAAACUAUUGAACUUGAGUGCAGGAGAGGUAAGCGGAAUGCCUAGUGUAGCGGUGAAAUGCGUAGAUAUUAGGAGGAACACCAGUGGCGAAGGCGGCUUACUGGACUGUAACUGACGUUGAGGCUCGAAAGCGUGGGGAGCAAACAGGAUUAGAUACCCGGGUAGUC
Molecule: ribosomal RNA, 443 nt
Filed under: uncultured bacterium
Lineage: Bacteria
Description: partial 16S ribosomal RNA
Rfam family: Bacterial small subunit ribosomal RNA
Source: RNAcentral